AGCGAACGCUGGCGGCAGGCCUAACACAUGCAAGUCGAACGAACUCUUCGGAGUUAGUGGCGGACGGGUGAGUAACACGUGGGAACGUGCCUUUAGGUUCGGAAUAACUCAGGGAAACUUGUGCUAAUACCGAAUGUGCCCUUCGGGGAAAGAUUUAUCGCCUUUAGAGCGGCCCGCGUCUGAUUAGCUAGUUGGUAAGG
RNAcentral lists this ribosomal RNA (200 nucleotides) under uncultured bacterium. Its description in RNAcentral is "partial 16S ribosomal RNA". It matches the Rfam family "Bacterial small subunit ribosomal RNA", at positions 29 to 257 of the family's 1533-position model. The record is from RNAcentral.